GAUGAAGAACGCAGCGAAAUGCGAUACGUAGUGUGAAUUGCAGAAUUCAGUGAAUCAUCGAAUCUUUAAACGCACAUUGCACCUCUCGGUAUUCCGGGAGGUAUGCCUGUUCGAGCGUCAUUUGUACCCUCAAGCUCUGCUUGGUGUUGGGUGUUUGUUCCGCCUCUGUGUGUGAACUCGCCUCAAAACAAUUGGCAGCCGGCGUACUUGUUUCGGAGCGCAGCACAUUUUGCGAUCCAGAUCAACGUACAGCGGCAUCCAAGAAGCCUUAUUUAACGCUCUUGACCUCGGAUCAGGUAGGGAUACCCGCUGAACUUAAGCAUAUCAAUAAGCGGAGGA
This 339-nucleotide unclassified non-coding RNA is filed under the name soil metagenome. RNAcentral describes it as "partial contains 5.8S ribosomal RNA, internal transcribed spacer 2, and large subunit ribosomal RNA". The stretch from base 1 to 120 matches the Rfam family "5.8S ribosomal RNA", at positions 35 to 154 of the family's 154-position model. The record is from RNAcentral.